CAAAAGCAAAAGGUCCAAAUUGCAAGAGUCAAAAGAAUAAAAAACAGAAAGCGUAUAAAUGAAAUAGGAAAGUAUAUGCUUUGUAAAAUCCCUAGAUUUGUUGGGAUUUCUCGGCAAUGUCGGCUUUCAAUCUGCAUCGAUUUCUCAAAUUGAGCUGGAUUCAGGCCUUCUCCAACCUUGUUUUGAGCUUUCUUGCACUUCUGCUCGUCUAUUUACCGCAUCUGCAGCUGUAUGUGCAUGUUAUGUUCUCUCUACUUCGACUUGUCAGUGCUCAGAUGACCCAAUCUUCAAUUUUCCUUGAUUUUGCUCUGCAUAUCACCUGAAAAUUGUUUUAACACUUCCAGAUCUGCAUCGUAGCCAUUCAACAGCUUUGAUGUCUAUCCGUCUCCUGCUGAAUCUGAAAAAGGAGUGCUGUGUGAUAAGAAGAUGCCACCAAAACUUAAAGGCAGGUUCUACAAAGAAGUUGUGAGACCGAACUUGUUGUACGGGAUAGAGUGUUGUGCAGUCAAGAGCUCUCACGUUCAAAAGAUGAAAGCUUGAUGAGUCGUAAAAUUAUGCGAUAUUUGAUGCUAAUUCUUUAAGUUUUUGUGACCCUUUAAGCACUUUUGUUGUUACUUUUUGUGUAUUUUUGUUAUUUUGUAGGAAAAGAUGCCCGGAGAGCAUAAAAGAGCAAAAUGGACCAAAAUGGAACAAAAUAGAGCAAAACAAGCCAAGAUAGCUGAAAUGAACUAGAGCACCACCUGCGAAUCGCAGGUACUGCAUGCGAGUCGCAGGUGGUGCAGCAUCUGUUGACAGAGAAUGACCAAAUAAAAUAAGACAAUGAUGCAACACAUGCGACACAUGCGACACCACAUACGACUCGCAUGUGGAACCCGCGAGUCGCAUCCUGUGUCGCAGAUGCUGCACCUCGGAUGAUUUAUGAGAUAUUGGUGCUCUAUCAAGUUUUAUGUGAUUUAGAAGUGAUCGGAAGAAACCAAGUAAAAAGAAAGUCAAAAAGAGGUCAAACUGGACAUUUUUGCAAAACUGUCAAAACUGGACAGUUUUGCAAAAAGGGGACAGAUUUGCAAAAUUGAAACUUUGGGGUUUAUUUUGUCAUUUUUAAACUUGGAAAAAUUAGGUCAGCUACAAAAGAGAGACUUGGGGUAUAUCAUUUUCAUCUUUUGCCAUUUUGCAAGCUUGGAGGUUAGGGUUCAUCUACACCACACUUUGGGGUUGAAGAUUUGAAGAUUUGGUUGAACAUUUCUUAAACAUUUAAUUCAUUUCUUCAAUCUCUUGCUUUGUAUUGUAUAUCUAAGUAUGUAGUGUUUAUUUUCUUCACUUGAAUCUUGUUUAUGGAAAAAUAUUUUAGGAUUAAAGUGUUGGCUGAAA
Long non-coding RNA from Lycium barbarum (goji berry), 1368 nucleotides. RefSeq lists it as uncharacterized. NCBI's taxonomy places the organism in Eukaryota, Viridiplantae, Streptophyta, Magnoliopsida, Solanales, Solanaceae. The record is from RefSeq and is a predicted model, not a curated record. The transcript is spliced from 2 exons.